CUUUGUCUUUUUACAAUUAGUUCUGCUCGAGAGCUCUGAAACAAAGAGAAAUUUCGAUUCGGUCGAAAAAUUUCGCCUAGUGGAAAACCGCCUUUAAGGCCGGAUUCCACGAGGCGGAAUUUUUCGACCGAAACGAAAUUUCUCUUUGUCUUUUUACAAUUAGUUCUGCUCGAGAGCUCUGAAACAAAGAGAAAUUUCGAUUCGGUCGAAAAAUUUCGCCUAGUGGAAAACCGCCUUUAAG
Molecule: non-coding RNA, 241 nt
Organism: Paramuricea clavata
Lineage: Eukaryota; Metazoa; Cnidaria; Anthozoa; Malacalcyonacea; Plexauridae
Source: the annotation of a GenBank genome assembly